Molecule: transfer RNA, 73 nt
Filed under: Canis lupus familiaris (dog)
Lineage: Eukaryota; Metazoa; Chordata; Mammalia; Carnivora; Canidae
Also listed under: 1 other name
Description: tRNA-Glu (CTC) (tRNA-Glu-CTC-4-1)
Rfam family: tRNA
About the family: Transfer RNA (tRNA) molecules are approximately 80 nucleotides in length. Their secondary structure includes four short double-helical elements and three loops (D, anti-codon, and T loops).
Source: Rfam by way of RNAcentral
ACCUGGCUGGCUCAGUCAGUAGAGCAUGAGACUCUCAAUCUCGGGGUUGUGAGUUCGGGCCUCACGUUGGGUG